This is an RNA transcript of Neodiprion fabricii, 2414 nucleotides long. It is a transcript of the gene named blood vessel epicardial substance-like, with no coding region annotated. Lineage: Eukaryota; Metazoa; Arthropoda; Insecta; Hymenoptera; Diprionidae. The record is from RefSeq and is a predicted model, not a curated record. The transcript is spliced from 10 exons.
GCAUAGGUACGUAUGAUCGUAAACGUUCGGGAAAGGCUGCGCAAGCAGCGUGAGUAACCAAGAAAAGCGAAGUCUGAAGCAUCUUCGCGGCGGCGUCGUCCGUCUCGCAGACACGGAACUGUAACAACAUAUAUACCGGAGCUAUCUGUGACGGGUGUGGAACACGCAGCCCGAAACGGAAGUACACACAUAACCAUAUAUGCUCCGGGAACCGACGCCGACGCCGAGGAGGUCGAGGUCGACGAGGAAUACCGAAGAUAGCAGCAGCAGGGGACUCCUGAAAACUGUCCACAGAGUUCAAAGCGGGUGGAUUUCGACUGGGGUGAUGCGGGGAUGUGGAUGAGGAUCGCCUCGGGAGGUGGUCGGGACGGCUGGAGUUCUUGCAGGAUCUUGUUUGUACUGUUUCUGCUGCGCCCUCCGGCUGUUGGAAAAGUUGGCGCAAAUCGUACAGAUGCUGUCGUUGGUGGGUCAUCGGUUGUUUCCCCCGAUCACGUCACGAACGGCAAUCCUGGGGACGCGACGUCGCCCACGGAAUCUGGAAACGACAAGUGCCACAACGCUACCAAUCUUGUCACAGGUGCUGUGAAUAGCAGUGGAGAUUUGACGGGGUUAAAUCAUGGGACGUACCCAUAUCCACCUCUGACCUCGGCAACAUUUUUAAUCGGUGCUUUCACGUGCCAACCGUAUCAUGGAGUUCACAUCAAUCACAUCUACUUCCAACUGGCCAAUGCGUUCUUCCUCUUAUCGCAUCUUGCACCCAGCGGCAUACACGGUGUCCUGUAUCUGCGGUGCACCCUCCUUAUUGGGUGUGCGUUCUUUGCUCUCUGGGGCUGGGCGAUCGCCUGCUGGCUGGAUGCGGCUCUGUGGAACGCGACAUUUGUAGCCAUAAAUUUUCUCCACAUUUGUAUGCUUCUCUACAGACUGCGACCGGUCAAAUUUUCACGAGAAGUUGAGGAGGUCUAUGUUGCGGUGUUUCAACCGCUCAGGGUGUCGCGGCAUCAAUUCAAAAAAGUCCUGAACUGCAUGAAAGGAAUCCGUCAACUGAAGUAUCAAGAAGUUUAUGCUCAGGAGAAAGUCACCAAGGUCGACUCGCUUUCGUUGGUACUUUCUGGGAAACUGGUCGUCUCACAAAACGGGAGAGCGUUGCAUAUAGUUUUUCCACAUCAAUUUCUGGACUCACCCGAAUGGUUUGGAGUUUCCACUGAUGAAUAUUUUCAGGUAUCGAUAACGGCAAUGGAAGAGUCGAGGAUACUUCUUUGGCACCGGGAUAAACUAAAGUUGAGCAUUAUCACUGAUCAAUUUCUUCAAGCUGUGUUUGAUCAUAUCCUAGGAAGAGACGUUGUCAAGAAAUUAAUGCAGGUGAGUGAGACAAUGGCAGCUAGCAGUCUUCACCAGUAUCAAAAUGGACAGGUAGUCAAUCUAGCCGGAGUGCCCAGAGCAGGAACAGGCUCUACGACGACUGAUACCAAUGAUCUUGACACCAAACUCCAGCUGGUAGUGAAAAACACUGGGGACGGCAGCCAAGGAAUUACUGCGCUUAUUAACCGGCAGCUACAAGAAGAAAGAGUGCCGCUGCUGUAUACGAGCCCCGAAGUGCUGAACAACGCCCUUCAUCAUCCUAGGCACCUUCACGCUCCGUACGUUCUCCCGUUGUGCCCGAUUCGCAAUAAUAAUUCCCCAGCAGAAUCCCCAACACACACGUGUGGCACGUAACCCUGCCUCGCCUCAUCACACCUUAUGGUUCUUAUUUUUUACCCGGUUGUUUAAUUAGGCUUACCACGGAUCAAAUACUACUACUGUGCGACGACGGGUGAUCCAAAUGCCUGGCGAUUGGGGAGGAUUGAAGAGACUGAUCACGAAACACCCGUCUAACAAGAGAUGUCCAACCCUGGCAAGCCUGGUAGAAGAAACCAACAAAAAACCCGGUUACCAGCCCCCUCAUGCCCUACAAUGUGUAUAUACUAUCUCCAUUCUAAAAUGGAAUUAGUGUAAUACAAGUGAAACAAAAACGCUACAGUGUUCAGAUGUGCCUGGCUGCAGAUGUUACGCUGCAGGCUAUGGAACCGUGCGUGUGUGCGUACAUAUGUGUGUUGAGUUUUCUUGUUAUGUUUAUAUUCUGAGAACUAGUCAAAAUUUUGUGAUCCAACAUUAUUAUUCAAUCGGCAUACAGCUGUCAUUGCGUUUGUAUUAUUGUAAAUUACAUUAUAUGUCUGUGCGUGUGUGACUACUUGAUGCUUCCAGUUAUUAUUUCAUAUGUUUUUUAGUCAAUUAAAGUGUAUGAUAUCUCCACAUUGUGAAAACGGUAAUAUGAAUGAUUUAACAGAGAUUACAUGGUAUUGCUAUUUUUGGUCUAUCGGAACAGACAAUGUGUAUAAAUAAAUACAUCCAAUUGUUAUAAUACUCCAAAGGAAUAA